RNAcentral lists this ribosomal RNA (796 nucleotides) under Escherichia coli. RNAcentral describes it as "partial 23S ribosomal RNA". It matches the Rfam family "Bacterial large subunit ribosomal RNA", at positions 2153 to 2925 of the family's 2925-position model. The record is from RNAcentral. Lineage: Bacteria; Pseudomonadati; Pseudomonadota; Gammaproteobacteria; Enterobacterales; Enterobacteriaceae.
GGCUUUGAAGUGUGGACGCCAGUCUGCAUGGAGCCGGCCUUGAAAUACCACCCUUUAAUGUUUGAUGUUCUAACGUGGACCCCUAAUCGGGGUUGCGGACAGUGUCUGGUGGGUAGUUUGACUGGGGCGGUCUCCUCCUAAAGAGUAACGGAGGAGCACGAAGGUUGGCUAAUCCUGGUCGGACAUCAGGAGGUUAGUGCAAUGGCAUAAGCCAGCUUGACUGCGAGCGUGACGGCGCGAGCAGGUGCGAAAGCAGGUCAUAGUGAUCCGGUGGUUCUGAAUGGAAGGGCCAUCGCUCAACGGAUAAAAGGUACUCCGGGGAUAACAGGCUGAUACCGCCCAAGAGUUCAUAUCGACGGCGGUGUUUGGCACCUCGAUGUCGGCUCAUCACAUCCUGGGGCUGAAGUAGGUCCCAAGGGUAUGGCUGUUCGCCAUUUAAAGUGGUACGCGAGCUGGGUUUAGAACGUCGUGAGACAGUUCGGUCCCUAUCUGCCGUGGGCGCUGGAGAACUGAGGGGGGCUGCUCCUAGUACGAGAGGACCGGAGUGGACGCAUCACUGGUGUUCGGGUUGUCAUGCCAAUGGCACUGCCCGGUAGCUAAAUGCGGAAGAGAUAAGUGCUGAAAGCAUCUAAGCACGAAACUUGCCCCGAGAUGAGUUCUCCCUGACUCCUUGAGAGUCCUGAAGGAACGUUGAAGACGACGACGUUGAUAGGCCGGGUGUGUAAGCGCAGCGAUGCGUUGAGCUAACCGGUACUAAUGAACCGUGAGGCUUAACCUUACAACGCCGAAGGUGUUU